This 418-nucleotide unclassified non-coding RNA is filed under the name Mycolicibacterium diernhoferi. Its description in RNAcentral is "16S-23S intergenic spacer region". The record is from RNAcentral. Lineage: Bacteria; Bacillati; Actinomycetota; Actinomycetes; Mycobacteriales; Mycobacteriaceae.
AAGGAGCACCACGAGACCUGUUGCCCGCCCACAUCGUGUGGGAGUUCGGUGACUCAGGCGAUUCGUUGGAUGGCCUCACACCUGUAGUGGGUGGGGGUCUGGUGCACAACAAACUUUGAGAAACUGCCAGACACACUAUUGGGCUUUGAGACAACAGGCCCUGCGGUGCCGGACUCGUUGGAGUCCUGGUUGCCGGCCGCGAGUCCCGGAAGCGAUUCUGGUUCGGACGGUGUCUGUUGUUGCUCCAUCUUUGGUGGUGGGGUGUGGUGUUUGAUUUGUGGAUAGUGGUUGCGAGCAUCUAGCACGCAAGAGGAGUCUGGGUUUCCUUCGGGAGCCCGGGUUUUUGUUGUGUGUGUUUGAUGUGCAAUUUUUUUCUUCUAUUUGGUUUUAUCUGUGUUGUAAGUGUUUAAGGGCGCAU